This 398-nucleotide ribosomal RNA is filed under the name uncultured bacterium. RNAcentral's name for it is "bacterial SSU rRNA". It matches the Rfam family "Bacterial small subunit ribosomal RNA", at positions 361 to 773 of the family's 1533-position model. The record is from RNAcentral.
AUUUUUGGCAAUGGGCGCAAGCCUGACCAAGCAACGCCGCGUGGGUGAUGAAGUAUCUUGGUACGUAAAACCCUUUCGGCAGGGACGAAACCAAUGACGGUACCUGCAGAAGAAGCCCCGGCUAACUCCGUGCCAGCAGCCGCGGUAAUACGGGGGGGGCAAGCGUUGUUCGGAAUUACUGGGCGUAAAGGGCGCGUAGGCGGUCAGAUAAGUCAGCUGUGAAAACCCCCAGCUUAACUGGGGGCCUGCAGUUGAAACUGUCCGGCUAGAGGGUGGGAGAGGAAAGUGGAAUUCCCGGUGUAGCGGUGAAAUGCGUAGAUAUCGGGAGGAACAUCGGUGGCGAAGGCGGCUUUCUGGACCACCCCUGACGCUGAGGCGCGAAAGCUAGGGGAGCAAAC